AAUCUGGGCUCAUAUCGUGAUACAGGCGCUCAUAAUUCCAUUACAUUGAAUGGCAGUAUUUUUCAGAACCUGUCUCGCCAGCGCGCACAGACCUGAAGGUUAAGAUGGGAGUCCAGGCUGCUUUCCAACUAGAGAGAGAACAGAGGAGAAAGGAGAGAGAAGAGAGCUCCCCCCUCUGGCCAUUCCAUCUUCCCAGGAUGCCAGUGUAGAAACAGGGGCUGCUGAGCUGAUCAAUCCCAGAAUGCCCCCUGAUGUCUGGAUUGAUCUCCUGCAGGGGUUCUGCUCCCAGAUCUUUCAGUUUUAAUGAGAAUCGCUCACAGAGAGGCUGGAUUGAUAACGCCGCUGUCCUGAAGCUCUCUCUCUCAGACUGGGACACAUUGUUUAUCAUUUAUUUAUUGUCUAGGUUAAAAGAUAUUGCAACAUCCUUUCUUUUUUUUUCUCUUUUUUUAAAUUUAUAGUAUCCAAUAAUUUUUUUACCCCAGUGUGGUAGAAUGCAGGAUGGUCAAGGUUGGUCAACAAUACAAACCCAGACUUGGGUAUUGGAGUUUAAGAGCUUUCGUGCACUUUAUAUUCACAAAUAUACAAAGCUUCAAAAUAAAUAAAUCCCCAAAACACCCAAAGCUACCGUGUUUACCUUCCUUUCUCUCUCACACUCCCCACUCCCCACUCUCCACUCCCCACUCUACACUGCA
Molecule: long non-coding RNA, 692 nt
Organism: Polyodon spathula (Mississippi paddlefish)
Lineage: Eukaryota; Metazoa; Chordata; Actinopteri; Acipenseriformes; Polyodontidae
Exons: 3
Source: RefSeq, a predicted model, not a curated record